AUUGAACGCUGGCGGCAGGCCUAACACAUGCAAGUCGAACGAGUGGCGGACGGGUGAGUAAUGUCUGGGAAACUGCCUGAUGGAGGGGGAUAACUACUGGAAACGGUAGCUAAUACCGCAUACCAUCAGAUGUGCCCAUAUGGGAUUAGCUAGUUGGUGGGGUAAAGGCUCACCAAGGCGACGCUCCCUAGCUGGUCUGAGAGGAUGACCAGCAAAACUGGAACUGAGACACGGUCCAGACUCCUACGGGAGGCAGCAGUGGGGAAUAUUGCAUAAUGGGCGCAAGCCUGAUGCAGCCAUGCCGCGUGUAUGAAGAAGGCCUUCGGGUUGUAAAGUACUUUCAGCGGGGAGGCGUUACCCGCAGAAGAAGCACCGGCUAACUCCGUGCCAGCAGCCGCGGUAAUUC
RNAcentral lists this ribosomal RNA (406 nucleotides) under uncultured bacterium. Its description in RNAcentral is "partial 16S ribosomal RNA". It matches the Rfam family "Bacterial small subunit ribosomal RNA", at positions 30 to 526 of the family's 1533-position model. The record is from RNAcentral.